Molecule: long non-coding RNA, 470 nt
Organism: Lolium rigidum
Lineage: Eukaryota; Viridiplantae; Streptophyta; Magnoliopsida; Poales; Poaceae
Exons: 3
Source: RefSeq, a predicted model, not a curated record
UUUGAGUACCACAGCUAAGAAGAAUUAAACCCGCAAUGGGGUUUUCACAAAAUGGUAAUUGUGCAUGGGCCGAGUCAUCUAAAUCGGGCCGGAGGGAGUACUACAUUGUGUUGAGACAAUAAUGGAAAAUCUGUAGCCAAGACCAGAUUUCCAACUAGCAAGCAGCAUGCUAUUGCUAGCCCUCAUCAUCUUAACAUGAAGCAACCAACUGGCUUGGAAGGAAAAAAUAGAGGCGUCUUCCACAUUUCUGAUGACCAACCGUGCAUAAAUUAUGCAGACAAUGCAUACAAUUUUCAUUGUAAAUGUUGGAGCAGGUUUCAGACUGAUCUGGACCGCUCUAAAGCGACUACUUGGCCUCCAACCGUGAUCUCAAAUUCAUGUAUGAACUCUGCAAGCUUUCGAAAUUUACCCCAUUGCGAUGUUUCUAUUACUUCAUAUUAAAUCUACAGUAAAAGGUCUUAGGAACAAAA